This 63-nucleotide transfer RNA is filed under the name Cordylochernes scorpioides. RNAcentral's name for it is "tRNA-Thr". The record is from RNAcentral. Lineage: Eukaryota; Metazoa; Arthropoda; Arachnida; Pseudoscorpiones; Chernetidae.
UAUUAUGGGAAUCGAACCCAUAGUAUUCCGCUUACUGGGCAGAUACCAUUUCCACUAGGCUAC